UACGUAGGGGGCGAGCGUUGUCCGGAUUUACUGGGCGUAAAGCGUCCGUAGGUGGUUGGUUUAGUCUGAUGUGAAAGCUCCCGGCUCAACUGGGAGAGGUCAUUGGAUACUGGCCGACUUGAGGAGUACAGAGGGAGACGGAAUUCCCGGAGUAGUGGUGAUAUGCGUAGAGACCGGGAGGAACACCGGUGGCGAAGGCGGUCUCCUGGGUACUUCCUGACACUGAGGGACGAAAGCGUGGGGAGCGAACCGGAUUAGAUACCCGGGUAGUCCACGCGGUAAACGAUGGGUACUCGGUGUGGGGGGUAUCGACCCCCUCCGCGCCCCAGCUAACGCGAUAAGUACCCCGCCUGGGGAGUACGGCCGCAAGGCUA
This 374-nucleotide ribosomal RNA is filed under the name uncultured prokaryote. RNAcentral's name for it is "bacterial SSU rRNA". It matches the Rfam family "Bacterial small subunit ribosomal RNA", at positions 524 to 896 of the family's 1533-position model. The record is from RNAcentral.